GUUGAAGUAUUGAACCUAGACCAAAGGUGAAUCGCAGAAAGCACAAUCUUGCUACCCGGAGGUGAAUUGUAGAAGGAGAAGCAAAAUCUCCAGAGCCCAGAGGCGAAUCGCAGGAGCAUACUCAAAAGCUAGAGGCAAACCCAGNNGUGAAGACCGAGAAAGCCAUGUCAAUGAUAAUGAAGCUUCGAGAUGAACCUAAGCGGCGGCAUCUCGUCUCUAGACUCUGGCUCUGCGUGACUUCGAAGGGAGUCCACUUCCACAGAGACAAUGGCUU
This 274-nucleotide unclassified non-coding RNA is filed under the name Hevea brasiliensis (rubber tree). Lineage: Eukaryota; Viridiplantae; Streptophyta; Magnoliopsida; Malpighiales; Euphorbiaceae. The record is from RNAcentral.